CUGCUGCCUCCCGUAGGAGUCUGGGCCGUGUCUCAGUCCCAGUGUGGCCGUCCGCCCUCUCAGGCCGGCUACUGAUCGUCGCUUUGGUAGGCCGUUACCCUGCCAACUGGCUAAUCAGACGCGGGCCCAUCCUGUACCACCGGAGUUUUCAGGAAAAAGCCAUGCGGCUUCUCCCGUUAUGCGGUAUUAGCACCUAUUUCUAAGUGUUAUCCCCCAGUCUAAGGCCGGUUACCGUACGCCGUACUCUACCCGUCCGCCACCUAACGAUUUUACA
This 274-nucleotide ribosomal RNA is filed under the name uncultured bacterium. RNAcentral describes it as "partial 16S ribosomal RNA". The record is from RNAcentral.